ACUCCUACGGGAGGCAGCAGUGGGGAAUAUUGCACAAUGGGCGAAAGCCUGAUGCAGCAACGCCGCGUGAGCGAUGAAGGUCUUCGGAUCGUAAAGCUCUGUCCUCAAGGAAGAUAAUGACGGUACUUGAGGAGGAAGCCCCGGCUAACUACGUGCCAGCAGCCGCGGUAAUACA
This 175-nucleotide ribosomal RNA is filed under the name uncultured Bacillota bacterium. Its description in RNAcentral is "uncultured Firmicutes bacterium partial 16S ribosomal RNA". It matches the Rfam family "Bacterial small subunit ribosomal RNA", at positions 335 to 527 of the family's 1533-position model. The record is from RNAcentral. Lineage: Bacteria; Bacillati; Bacillota.